GUGCUAUUGAAGAGUCCCGCAAUAAGACGAAACGGCUGUCCAGCAC
This 46-nucleotide non-coding RNA is filed under the name Schistosoma margrebowiei. The record is from RNAcentral. Lineage: Eukaryota; Metazoa; Platyhelminthes; Trematoda; Strigeidida; Schistosomatidae.